RNAcentral lists this unclassified non-coding RNA (378 nucleotides) under plant metagenome. RNAcentral describes it as "partial contains 5.8S ribosomal RNA, internal transcribed spacer 2, and large subunit ribosomal RNA". The stretch from base 1 to 105 matches the Rfam family "5.8S ribosomal RNA", at positions 50 to 154 of the family's 154-position model. The record is from RNAcentral.
GAAAUGCGAUAAGUAAUGUGAAUUGCAGAAUUCAGUGAAUCAUCGAAUCUUUGAACGCACCUUGCGCUCCUUGGUAUUCCUUGGAGCAUGCCUGUUUGAGUAUCAUGAAAUCUUCAAAGUAAAUCUUUUGUUAACUCAAUUGGUUUCUACUUUGGUAUUGGAGGUCUUUGCAGCUUCACACCUGCUCCUCUUUGUUCAUUAGCUGGAUCUCAGUGUUAUGCUUGGUUCCACUCGGCGUGAUAAGUUAUCUAUCGCUGAGGACACUGUAAAAGGUGGCCAAGGUAAAUGCAGAUGAACCGCUUCUAAUAGUCCAUUGCCUUGGACAAUACUUUUAUGAUCUGAUCUCAAAUCAGGUAGGACUACCCGCUGAACUUCAGC